RNAcentral lists this ribosomal RNA (557 nucleotides) under Escherichia coli. Its description in RNAcentral is "bacterial LSU rRNA". It matches the Rfam family "Bacterial large subunit ribosomal RNA", at positions 101 to 702 of the family's 2925-position model. The record is from RNAcentral. Lineage: Bacteria; Pseudomonadati; Pseudomonadota; Gammaproteobacteria; Enterobacterales; Enterobacteriaceae.
UAACCGGCGAUUUCCGAAUGGGGAAACCCAGUGUGAUUCGUCACACUAUCAUUAACUGAAUCCAUAGGUUAAUGAGGCGAACCGGGGGAACUGAAACAUCUAAGUACCCCGAGGAAAAGAAAUCAACCGAGAUUCCCCCAGUAGCGGCGAGCGAACGGGGAGCAGCCCAGAGCCUGAAUCAGUGUGUGUGUUAGUGGAAGCGUCUGGAAAGGCGCGCGAUACAGGGUGACAGCCCCGUACACAAAAAUGCACAUGCUGUGAGCUCGAUGAGUAGGGCGGGACACGUGGUAUCCUGUCUGAAUAUGGGGGGACCAUCCUCCAAGGCUAAAUACUCCUGACUGACCGAUAGUGAACCAGUACCGUGAGGGAAAGGCGAAAAGAACCCCGGCGAGGGGAGUGAAAAAGAACCUGAAACCGUGUACGUACAAGCAGUGGGAGCCUCUUUAUGGGGUGACUGCGUACCUUUUGUAUAAUGGGUCAGCGACUUAUAUUCUGUAGCAAGGUUAACCGAAUAGGGGAGCCGAAGGGAAACCGAGUCUUAACUGGGCGUUAAGUUG